UGGUAAAAGGAAAUCUUAGAUACUCAGUUUUUAUACAAAUUCACAACAAAAGACAAACUUUAGGAACCCUGCCACUCCUUAAGAUUAAGAAAUUAAGAUACACAUUUCAAGAAUUUCUAUUGACCUCUUAAUUAUUUGUAAUUUCUAUGCCAAACCUGUUCGUUUGAAAUACAUCCAUCUACUUAAACCUCUCCAAAUGUUGUUGAUAGGCAGUAAACCCUACUCUCCAAAAGUUUGGGAAAAAACAUAGGACAUUUUUUACUACCAAGAUAUAAAGAAAAUUUGGGAUUCCUAUCAUCUGGAAUAAAAAUGGAAAGUAGGGAUGUGUGUGCCAGCCGUCAUGCCAAAUAUCACAGUUUAGCUUCUCCUUUCUUCAAAAUUUGAAGUCCCAUCACAAUUCACAUGAUAGUCCGUCAAUAAAAUGAUUCUAAUAGUUGAGUUGAGAGUAGAAAUAAAUACGAAUAGAGGAGGCUUACUGUUCAUUGUUCAACAUAGACAAAGGUAGUCGUAAAAACACAUGGUUUGGUUUGUCGUAAAAACACAUGGUUUGGUUUGGAAAAAAAAACAUCAUUUCAAUAGUCACUCUCCAACCCCCUGUAUUAUUGAAAACAAAAUUUCAAGAGACUUAGAAAUGGCUUUAAGCUCAACUCCCAACACUAAACUUGCAACUUUUAGAAGGCCAACAUGCCAGUCAGAUAAUACCUUUGGAAAAAUGAGUAUAAUUCCAUAGAAGUUUGUGUAAAUAAUGAAAGAAGUCCCAAUAAAUUUUUUUUAUCUAGUAAAAAGUUUGCACACUACACUUUCAACUGGAAACGGUUUAUUCAUUGCCUCCUCAACAUUGUUUCAAUUAAAUUUAAAUAAGAUGAAGGCUUUUGCCAUUGAUUCUCCAAAUUAAACUCACCUAUCUCAGUAAAAUAUAAAUUUGGAUGGACAUAACAGCAUCAACAGAACCCAGUAAAUAAUGAAUCACAGAUAUAGAGACAGAAACAAGAAUUAGAACACCAAAAAGAGAAAGAAACAUGGGCAGACACAAAACUGGUAAGAAAGGACAAGAGAUGUGCAGCUUACCA
RNAcentral lists this long non-coding RNA (1070 nucleotides) under Phaseolus vulgaris (common bean). RNAcentral describes it as "long non-coding RNA (PVUL_LNC001844)". The record is from RNAcentral. Lineage: Eukaryota; Viridiplantae; Streptophyta; Magnoliopsida; Fabales; Fabaceae.